This 773-nucleotide ribosomal RNA is filed under the name uncultured bacterium. RNAcentral's name for it is "bacterial SSU rRNA". It matches the Rfam family "Bacterial small subunit ribosomal RNA", at positions 8 to 796 of the family's 1533-position model. The record is from RNAcentral.
AGAGUUUGAUCAUGGCUCAGGACGAACGCUGGCGGCGUGCUUAACACAUGCAAGUCGAGCGGAAAGGCCACUUCGGUGGUACUCGAGCGGCGAACGGGUGAGUAACACGUGAGUAAUCUGCCCUCCACUUUGGGAUAGCCACCGGAAACGGUGAUUAAUACCGGAUAUGACGCGCUCUCGCAUGGGGGUGUGUGGAAAGUUUUUUCGGUGGGGGAUGUGCUCGCGGCCUAUCAGCUUGAUGGUGGGGUAAUGGCCUACCAUGGCUUCGACGGGUAGCCGGCCUGAGAGGGUGACCGGCCACACUGGGACUGAGACACGGCCCAGACUCCUACGGGAGGCAGCAGUGGGGAAUAUUGGACAAUGGGCGGAAGCCUGAUCCAGCAACGCCGCGUGAGGGAUGACGGCCUUCGGGUUGUAAACCUCUUUCAGCACAGACGAAGCGAAAGUGACGGUAUGUGCAGAAGAAGCACCGGCCAACUACGUGCCAGCAGCCGCGGUAAUACGUAGGGUGCGAGCGUUGUCCGGAAUUAUUGGGCGUAAAGGGCUCGUAGGCGGUUUGUCGCGUCGGGAGUGAAAACACUGGGCUUAACUCAGUGCUUGCUUCCGAUACGGGCAGACUAGAGGUAUGCAGGGGAGAACGGAAUUCCUGGUGUAGCGGUGAAAUGCGCAGAUAUCAGGAGGAACACCGGUGGCGAAGGCGGUUCUCUGGGCAUUACCUGACGCUGAGGAGCGAAAGUGUGGGGAGCGAACAGGAUUAGAUACCCUAGUAGUCC